GUAACGGCGAGUGAAGCGGGAAGAGCUCAUGUUGUGAAUCUGGCCCUCGGGCCCGAACUGUACUUUGGAGAGGCGAGGCCAGCCGCUGUCCGCGGCGAAGUCUGAUUGGAAAUGAGCAUCAAGGAGGGUGACAAUCCCGUCCAUGCCGCGGUAUCAACCAGCGCGCGUCCGGCCCGCUUUCGACGAGUCGAGUUGCUUGGGAUUGCAGCUCAAAGAGGGUGGUAAACUCCAUCCAAAGCUAAACACGGGGGGGAGACCGAUAGCGAACAAGUACCGUGAGGGAAAGAUGCAAAGAACUUUGAAAAGAGAGUUAAAGAGUGCCUGAAAUUGCUGGAAGGGAAGCGAAGGAAAGAGGUGUGCGGUUGCCCGGGCGCCAACCCCUACCUGUUCGCAGGUGGGGGUAGGCCGCCCGGCCGCGGUCAGGGGCUGCGCUGGGCUUGGGGGAAGAGCCAUCGGGGAUCGGUAGGCGCGCCGCUUCGGCGGCGCGUUGUCAGGCCCUGGUGGAUAAUUGUUUUGCCCCGAGCUCGGCCCCCGUCUGGCGGUCGCGGCUUUUCUUCACCCCGUCUUGAAACACGGACCAAGGAGUCUAGCGUGGACGCGAGUAGAGGGGUGUGGAAACCCCCUUGCGCAAUGAAGGUGAACGCCGGUGGGAGGCCGUAGCGGCCAGCACCAUCGACCGAGCGUGCUCCUCCGGGGGCAAGGCUUGAGUGUGAGCGUGCAUGCUGGGACCCGAAAGAUGGUGAACUAUGCCUGAAUAGGGCGAAGCCAGGGGAAACUCUGGUGGAGGCUCGUAGCGAUUCUGACGUGCAAAUCGAUCGUGAGAUUUGGGUAUAGGGGCGAAAGACUAAUCGAACCAUCUAGUAGCUGGUUCCCUCCGAAAUUUCCCUCAGGAUAGCAGCGGCCGAGUGUUUGGACAGUUUUAUCAGGUAAAGCGAAUGAUUAGAGGCUGCGGGGGAGUAACUCCCUCGCCCUAUUCUCAAACUUUAAAUGGGUAAGGAGCCGGGGUCGCUUGGAUGGACCCUCGGCGUGUCUCUGGAAUGGCUGGUCGUUAGUGGGCCAGUCCGGGUAAGCUGGACUGGCGAUGCGGGAUGAACCGAACGCCUAGAUGAAGCGCCUCACUGCCCGCUCA
This 1129-nucleotide ribosomal RNA is filed under the name Dictyota mayae. RNAcentral's name for it is "partial 26S large subunit ribosomal RNA". It matches the Rfam family "Eukaryotic large subunit ribosomal RNA", at positions 83 to 1203 of the family's 3401-position model. Lineage: Eukaryota; Phaeophyceae; Dictyotales; Dictyotaceae. The record is from RNAcentral.